GUACCUCUGGCUCCUCGUUCUCACUUAGUUUAUGUUUAUUGUCAUUUUUCUCCCUCGCAUUUCUACCGAGCUGAGUAUUCUCUGACUUAACUGACCUCCCACUACGUUCUUGGAAAUACAGAGUCUGACCGGUCCACGCAGCUCUGUUCCUGUAGAAAAUACAAAAUUGGGGAAUCCAUCCACACUCCUCCAGGAAAUGCUGGCAACCAUAAUGACUCGCAAAGCAGUACCAGAAAGGAGUGGCCAUGAAGUGGUUCUGAGGUGCUGAGCUGGAGAAGAUUUUGCCUCUGUUGUUCCAGGAUGAAUCAAAUACUUUCAAGAUAAUUUGCCAGCCUCCAUUUUGUCUUCAAAAUGGCUGUUCAAAUACUGAAAUUCCUGGGCACCCAGAGGUAAACUACAAAGCGGCCUUGUACGAUUUACAAUACACAGCAUCCAUUGAUGGAUAAUGGAGUAUGAAGACUGUUGCAAUAAGGCCCUGGCUAUUUCCUUGGUUCCUUUGCAGCAGGCAUGGAUGCAGCUGAAGAUUAAAGCUUCGGUUCAAGCACGAAGGAUAGCUGAAGUCUACUUAGCUGAAGGUCAGAGAUCCAGAUGUGAAUGCAAAAAAGCCAACCAAAGGCUCCAGCCGUAGGACACUCGGACCCAAACAGCCAGUUUUGUUUGUAACUGCCUCCGUUACUGCUUUUGAAAGAGCACCCUUUUUCCUGCUUGGUACAGAAAAAGCACAGCACAUCUCUGCAAGAAAUCAAAGGUGUUGUGGCUGAGCAUCAGGGGAGCCACGGGACACCACGGGAAGACCAUGUCCAGCGUGGCAGGGAAAGGCAGACCGUCUAGAGGGAGAGACGGGGAGCCCCUUCGUGCCAGGUACCACCUGUAAAGGGGGGCAGAGCCCUGGGGCUGGUCCGCCUGUC
This is a long non-coding RNA of Dromaius novaehollandiae (emu), 908 nucleotides long. RefSeq lists it as uncharacterized. NCBI's taxonomy places the organism in Eukaryota, Metazoa, Chordata, Aves, Casuariiformes, Dromaiidae. The transcript is spliced from 8 exons. The record is from RefSeq and is a predicted model, not a curated record.